UACGUAGGUGACAAGCGUUGUCCGGAUUUACUGGGCGUAAAGAGCGCGCAGGCGGUCGAUCAAGUCGAGUGUGAAAGCCCCCGGCUCAACUGGGGAGGGUCAUUCGAUACUGAUCGACUCGAAGGCAGGAGAGGGUAGUGGAAUUCCCGGUGUAGUGGUGAAAUGCGUAGAUAUCGGGAGGAACACCAGUGGCGAAGGCGGUUCUCUGGGACGGUACUGACGCUGAGACGCGAAAGCGUGGGGAGCAAACAGG
This 253-nucleotide ribosomal RNA is filed under the name uncultured bacterium. Its description in RNAcentral is "partial 16S ribosomal RNA". It matches the Rfam family "Bacterial small subunit ribosomal RNA", at positions 524 to 776 of the family's 1533-position model. The record is from RNAcentral.